UUCCUGUUGCAAUAUUUUAUUUGAUAAUAUUACUUAAAUAAUAAUGAUAUAAUACUUACACAAAAACAUCCAGUCCUUUUUUUUACAAAAGUAAUAAAAUUGUUAUACUUAUGUCCUUUUACAUCCAAAUAAUCUUCUACUAUGUUUUUCUAGAUGUAUUCUGCUACACCAAAGUAUAGAAGCUUUGCAAGACAAAAUCUAGAUGUAUUCUGCUACACCAAAGUAUAGAAGUUUUGAAAGACAAAAAUUGCCAUAUGUAGUAUGGAAGAAUAGCAAUACCGUUUUUAAAAAACGAGGUGCAUUAAAGUAAAUGUCAUAUUUGAAUGCAUUGAUCCAUAAAUGUGGACAAUUGAACAGCACACACAUUUACUAACCGUGCCGUGUGCUGAUGCUAAUCUUCUUCGGGUGGCUCCUAGAGAAUGAGGUUGGAGUGUGGGGGACUGGGGAGGUGUGGGGGACUGGGGAGG
Molecule: long non-coding RNA, 467 nt
Filed under: Homo sapiens (human)
Lineage: Eukaryota; Metazoa; Chordata; Mammalia; Primates; Hominidae
Description: non-protein coding lnc-MYOM2-8:1
Source: RNAcentral